This is a long non-coding RNA of Oxyura jamaicensis (ruddy duck), 1154 nucleotides long. RefSeq lists it as uncharacterized. NCBI's taxonomy places the organism in Eukaryota, Metazoa, Chordata, Aves, Anseriformes, Anatidae. The transcript is spliced from 5 exons. The record is from RefSeq and is a predicted model, not a curated record.
ACAGCAGGUCCUCUGGGAACACAUGGAACUUGGGAAUGAAGGUGACAUUUAAGAAAUGAUCGGUUUAGUGCUCCACAUCUAUUAUGUUCCUGUGAAGGCUCAGAAUGUGUCACUUUGACUUCAACAAGGAACGAAAAUGGCUUCUCUUUGGCUACAAAAGAUUCCGGGCUUGGUGUCUUUGGAGAAGAGCAUGCAGUGCUCCUGAGUACGUUCCUUCAGGGCUAGUCCUCUCCAUGCUCCAGGAAACCCAUUGGUGUCCCCGUCCAUGAACGACCCUAGAAGCUGUUCAUCCCUUCAGAGCUGCGUUGGCUCCUUCUGUGCCUGGUUUGUUGCCACACUACUCCUCCAUGGGGCCUAUGAGCCUUUAUGUUCCAGCUGACUUUCUCUAACAGAGCAACCAAUGUGCUUUUUCACCACAACGAACUGAAGCACGAGUUCAUUGGGGCUGAAGGAAAACUGUCUCAGAGACAAAAGUGUGAAAAACUGCAGGAGCCUUCUAGGAAUGUGAAAGUGGUUACAACCUCAGAGACCACCUUGCAGAUGGCAGCUUCCACCUCGCGGUGCUGCUGGCAGGGCCGGCGCCUCGUGGCACCCUGGGCACUCCCAGGCAGGUAAGGCACACAUGAAAGGGUCACAGAGGAGGAAACCUGCUCAAGUCAAUGAAGAUGAUAAGUAGUAAUGAUUUUUUGGGGGUGUUUAUUUUUUGAGUGCUGGGCUGUUCCCCACUAGACUUCUUAAGGAGGGGGGAAAGAAAUCGCCCUGUAUAUACUUCCCUAUCACUGGGAACUGUGAAUACAGAAAACAACACAUCAGUGCUCAUCAGCAAGGGCAAGACCUUUAUGUCAAUGCUCAUUUACAGAACAAAUGCGCAGCGGUAUCCUCCCUGGGGCUGUGAAUAUCCCCAUUGUGCAAGUCCAGGAAGGGCUGUCGCCGGAGGUGGCUGGGAAACCUGGAUUAGCAUAAAGAGAGCCAACCCAUUCCUUCCUCCUCACCAAUCACACUUUUUCAGAAAAGCCAAAUACUGUCUGAGCAUCCCCACAGUAUCAGCCUUCCUGCCUCUCUUUACAGUGACCUUUUUCCUCCAGGUGAGACAGCAAGAAGAGAGGUCUUGUCAUGGCUACCGAUGUGUAUCACGGCUGCGCUCUUUGUAGAAG